RNAcentral lists this ribosomal RNA (305 nucleotides) under uncultured bacterium. RNAcentral's name for it is "bacterial SSU rRNA". It matches the Rfam family "Bacterial small subunit ribosomal RNA", at positions 334 to 632 of the family's 1533-position model. The record is from RNAcentral.
UUUCCCUACGGGAGGCAGCAGUGGGGAAUAUUGGGCAAUGGGCGCAAGCCUGACCGAGCAACGCCGCGUGAAGGAAGAAGGAAUUCGUUCUGUAAACUUCUGUUAUAAAGGAAGAAAGACGGAUGGAGGAAAUGACAUCCGAGUGACGGUACUUUAUGAGAAAGCCACGGCUAACUACGUGCCAGCAGCCGCGGUAAUACGUAGGUGGCAAGCGUUAUCCGGAAUUAUUGGGCGUAAAGAGGGAGCAGGCGGCAGCAAAGGUCUGUGGUGAAAGACUGAAGCUUAACUUCAGUAAGCCAUAGAAA